GACGAACGCUGGCGGCGCGCCUAACACAUGCAAGUUCGAACGAGCGAGAGAGAGCCUCGCUUUCCUUCAAGCGAGUGGCGAAACGGGUGAGUAACGCGCGAGGAAACCCGCCUCAAAGAGGGGGAACAACAGUUCGGAAACGACUGCUAAUACCGCAUAAGCCCACAGGUCGGCAUCGACCAGAGGGAAAAGGAGCAAUCCGCUUUCGAGAUCGGCCACGCGUCCGAUUAGCUAGUUUGGUGAGGUAACGGCCCACCAAGGCGACGAUUCGGUAGCCGGACUGAGAGGUUGAACGGCCACAUUGGGACUGAGACACGGCCCAGACUCCUACGGGAGGCAGCAGUGGGGAAUAUUGCACAAUGGGGGAAACCCUGAUGCAGCGACGCCGCGUGGAGGAAGAAGGUCUUCGGAUUGUAAACUCCUGUUGUUGAGGAAGAUAAUGACGGUACUCAACAAGGAAGUGACGGCUAACUACGUGCCAGCAGCCGCGGUAAAACGUAGGUCACAAGCGUUGUCCGGAAUUACUGGGUGUAAAGGGAGCGCAGGCGGGAAGACAAGUUGGAAGUGAAAUCUAUGGGCUCAACCCAUAAACUGCUUUCAAAACUGUUUUUCUUGAGUAGUGCAGAGGUAGGCGGAAUUCCCGGUGUAGCGGUGGAAUGCGUAGAUAUCGGGAGGAACACCAGUGGCGAAGGCGGCCUACUGGGCACCAACUGACGCUGAGGCUCGAAAGUGUGGGUAGCAAACAGGAUUAGAUACCCUGGUAGUCCACACCGUAAACGAUGAUUACUAGGUGUUGGAGGAUUGACCCCUUCAGUGCCGCAGUUAACACAAUAAGUAAUCCACCUGGGGAGUACGACCGCAAGGUUGAAACUCAAAGGAAUUGAUGGGGGCCCGCACAAGCAGUGGAGUAUGUGGUUUAAUUCGACGCAACGCGAAGAACCUUACCAAGUCUUGACAUCCCUUGACGAACAUAGAAAUAUGUUUUCUCUUCGGAGCAAGGAGACAGGUGGUGCAUGGUUGUCGUCAGCUCGUGUCGUGAGAUGUUGGGUUAAGUCCCGCAACGAGCGCAACCCUUACUGUCAGUUACUACGCAAGAGGACUCUGGCAGGACUGCCGUUGACAAAACGGAGGAAGGUGGGGAUGACGUCAAAUCAUCAUGCCCUUUAUGACUUGGGCUACACACGUACUACAAUGGCGUUAAACAAAGAGAAGCAAGACCGCGAGGUGGAGCAAAACUCAGAAACAACGUCCCAGUUCGGACUGCAGGCUGCAACUCGCCUGCACGAAGUCGGAAUUGCUAGUAAUCGUGGAUCAGCAUGCCACGGUGAAUACGUUCCCGGGCCU
RNAcentral lists this ribosomal RNA (1344 nucleotides) under uncultured bacterium. RNAcentral's name for it is "bacterial SSU rRNA". It matches the Rfam family "Bacterial small subunit ribosomal RNA", at positions 28 to 1381 of the family's 1533-position model. The record is from RNAcentral.